AUGUAUGUAUGUAUACAGCUUUGUUAAUCAAAGAAUAUUAUAAACAGAAAAAACAUAUACUGGUGGGACUGAUUCUAGACAACUUAUUAAUUAUCUUAGGGUUGACUGGGGCUUCAAAUUUCACAUUUAGCAGCUUAUUCAACCAGGUUGACUGACUGACUGAAUAAAAAUUGAAAAUGAGAAUGGAAGUCAAGGUCAUCCCUAAAAUAUCUUCACACACACACACACACACACGCAUGCGUAUGUACUAAGGCUUCAGUACUGCAUACACCUAGGAGCUAAGAAUGAAAAAAAAAAAAA
Octopus sinensis (East Asian common octopus) is the source of this 300-nucleotide long non-coding RNA. RefSeq lists it as uncharacterized. The record is from RefSeq and is a predicted model, not a curated record. NCBI's taxonomy places the organism in Eukaryota, Metazoa, Mollusca, Cephalopoda, Octopoda, Octopodidae. The transcript is spliced from 2 exons.